Molecule: long non-coding RNA, 308 nt
Organism: Topomyia yanbarensis
Lineage: Eukaryota; Metazoa; Arthropoda; Insecta; Diptera; Culicidae
Exons: 3
Source: RefSeq, a predicted model, not a curated record
CCAAGAGUUAAAUUUGUAGAAUAAUUAAGUUAGACUUUAAUUUCCGUAACAGCCACGCAGUAAGUGGAAACCUAAGGAGGGAACAGAAGAAUCAAGAAAAACCUAAAAUCAGCAAUCCACAGUACAGUAAGAACCUGAAAUACUAGAAAACACUGAAAAUCCUUUUAGCUGUGCAGUAAUCAACUAAAAGAACGGUGUUUGUUCCGACUUCGGGAACAUUCUAAAAGGAUUUUCAUCCUAAGUUGGAUGAUUGAUUGCUACCCUUGGAAGUUCCUCCAACCGAUAUCCUGUAACCGGGAAAAGAUACA